UGCAAGUCGAGCGAGCGGAACCAACAGAUUUACUUCGGUAAUGACGUUGGGAAAGCGUGCGGCGGAUGGGUGAGUAACACGUGGGGAACCUGCCCCUAAGUCUGGGAUACCAUUUGGAAACAGGUGCUAAUACCGGAUAAUAAAGCAGAUCGCAUGAUCAGCUUUUGAAAGGCGGCGUAAGCUGUCGCUAAGGGAUGGCCCCGCGGUGCAUUAGCUAGUUGGUAAGGUAACGGCUUACCAAGGCGACGAUGCAUAGCCGAGUUGAGAGACUGAUCGGCCACAUUGGGACUGAGACACGGCCCAAACUCCUACGGGAGGCAGCAGUAGGGAAUCUUCCACAAUGGACGCAAGUCUGAUGGAGCAACGCCGCGUGAGUGAAGAAGGUUUUCGGAUCGUAAAGCUCUGUUGUUGGUGAAGAAGGAUAGAGGUAGUAACUGGCCUUUAUUUGACGGUAAUCAACCAGAAAGUCACGGCUAACUACGUGCCAGCAGCCGCGGUAAUACGUAGGGGGCGAGCGUUAUCCGGAAUCACUGGGUGUAAAGGGUGCGUAGGCGGUAAUGCAAGUCAGAUGUGAAACCCCUUGGCUCAACCAAGGGCUUGCAUUUGAAACUGUGUUACUAGAGUGCAGGAGAGGAAAGCGGAAUUCCUAGUGUAGCGGUGAAAUGCGUAGAUAUUAGGAAGAACACCAGUGGCGAAGGCGGCUUUCUGGACUGUAACAGACGCUGAGGCACGAAAGCGUGGGUAGCGAACAGGAUUAGAUACCCUGGUAGUCCACGCCGUAAACGAUGAGUGCUAGGUGUUGGGGGUCGAUAGACCUCGGUGCUG
RNAcentral lists this ribosomal RNA (825 nucleotides) under uncultured bacterium. RNAcentral's name for it is "bacterial SSU rRNA". It matches the Rfam family "Bacterial small subunit ribosomal RNA", at positions 56 to 848 of the family's 1533-position model. The record is from RNAcentral.